Molecule: ribosomal RNA, 429 nt
Filed under: Pseudomonadota bacterium
Lineage: Bacteria; Pseudomonadati; Pseudomonadota
Description: Proteobacteria bacterium partial 16S ribosomal RNA
Rfam family: Bacterial small subunit ribosomal RNA
Source: RNAcentral
UGGGGAAUAUUGGACAAUGGGCGAAAGCCUGAUCCAGCCAUGCCGCGUGUGUGAAGAAGGUCUUCGGAUUGUAAAGCACUUUAAGUUGGGAGGAAGGGCAGUAAGCGAAUACCUUGCUGUUUUGACGUUACCGACAGAAUAAGCACCGGCUAACUCUGUGCCAGCAGCCGCGGUAAUACAGAGGGUGCAAGCGUUAAUCGGAAUUACUGGGCGUAAAGCGCGCGUAGGUGGUUCUUUAAGUUGAAUGUGAAAGCCCCGGGCUCAACCUGGGAACUGCAUCCAAAACUGGCGAGCUAGAGUAGGGCAGAGGGUGGUGGAAUUUCCUGUGUAGCGGUGAAAUGCGUAGAUAUAGGAAGGAACACCAGUGGCGAAGGCGACCACCUGGGCUCAUACUGACACUGAGGUGCGAAAGCGUGGGGAGCAAACAGG